Molecule: transfer RNA, 65 nt
Filed under: Pimelocerus perforatus
Lineage: Eukaryota; Metazoa; Arthropoda; Insecta; Coleoptera; Curculionidae
Description: tRNA-His
Source: RNAcentral
AUUUAAGUAGUUUAGUUAAAAAUAUUAAUUUGUGGAAUUAAAGAAAUAAUUUAUUAUCUUAAAUA